GAAAACUUACAAGAAUACAAGGGGAAUACCCCAGGCCCUAACAAAGCUAUACAAAAUUUACCAACUAUAUAUAACUAGCUAGCACAAACAAAACAAGCCUAUCAAAGCAGCCACAAAUUUGUUAGCAUAUUGGUGCCAUACUGGUAGCAAAUCUAUUAGCAACAAUCUGUUAGCAAAAACUAGCAUACUAGCUGCCUCCAUAACCCAGUUCAGAAGCACACACAAAAGAAGCCAAUCAAUGUUAUGUUUUUCCAUAGCAGCCACAUACACCAAUAUACAUAAACCAAAAGCUUAAGAAAAUAAAAUAAGACCCCAAGCACAACCUGCAAGGGAAUAGGUAGAAGCCUUAGAAUAUGAGCAUAAAACCAGUUGAAAUUCAGCUCCAUACUUCCUAUCCAAAUGUGUAGCACCAUCAAAAUAAAAAAAGACAACUAUCAAGCACACUCCAUUCAUUGAACUGGAGCAGAUUGCAGCCUGGUUCAAGAUUGCAUUCCCCAUAUCUUUAUACUUCCAAGUUUCAACAUGACCUGUUAAGACCACCCACACAAAUCCAACCAAAGGGAACCAAAAGAGUAAUAACAGUGAGAAAAUCCUCCAAUUCAACAAACAAUUAAGGUCUUCCUUCACUAGAUCCAUAAUGAAAAAAUCCAUGUAAUAAGAUUGAAAUUCAGAGGACGACUCUUUCCAUUUCCAACAAUAUUGAAUUUCAUAAGCACACAGGUCUCUUCUCUUUACCUUCUGUUUCCGGUCGGAAGGAUUGGCUAGUACUUGAAGAAGGGUCGCUAUGCUCAGUGUGUCGGAACCAGAGGUUUGGUUUUUAUAGCCGUUGUACUUGAAUACCUAGCUACUGAAGUAACUCUCUCUCUCUCUGUUUCAAACUCUUUAUUGUAUAAUCAUCAUCAAGCCCUAACUCUUGAUUUGUUCUUCACUAAUUGUAAUUCUUCGUAUUCGCAAAGCUUCAGUUCGUAUAUCAAUGGUGAACUCGUUCUCUGUUCGAUUUGGAUCUAUGUUUUGAUUUGGUUAGGUUUAUCUGUUUUGUUUUCGAUUAGCAUUUUGGUUUAAUGGUUAGGGUUUUGUUUGAGACCUUUGUGUUUUUGCUAGUUUUUGAUGAAUUUGGGGGAAUUAUUUUGUCUCCGUCGAUUUGCUCUUUUGAAAACUUGUUUGAGGUGGUUCUGUUUGGUUAGUGAGAAAAUGCAAGGUUAUUGAAAACAAUUUAACAGCAGAUAAUGAAUUACCUUAUCUUUUCCCUAUGAAAAUAUCAUAGUUUGCCGAUAAAUUUCAAUUUUUUUUUUAAUAUUACAGUUACUAAACCUUUAGGUUCACCUCAAGUAGUCUGAGUUGGGUUCUAUUUGGUUAUUGAGAAAAUGACGGAAUUUCCACGUUAUGCCUCAGAAUACGAAGACACACACACACACACACACACACAAACUCUCUCUCUCUCUCUCUCUCUCUCUUGCUCUUGCUCUCACUCUCGCUCUCGCCUCACGUUACCCUCACAAUCUAUCUAUAGCAGUGGUGGCGGCGACUUCCCACUGGUUCUCCCUCUGACAUCCAGGUAUAUCUCUCAUCUACUCUCAUCUGUUGUUCUCUUCUCAUUUUCUGGAAGGAUGUUUGUAGUUUCUUUUGCUUUUUUUUUUUCCUUCUCUUUUCCCUAAGAAAAUUGUAUUUUAAUUUUAUUUGUUUAUUUAACUUUAUAUUAAAGGCUGAAUCUUAGUGGAAGAUCAAGAAAUGUUAUGUAGGGUUGUUUCUCAAGGUUGUUGGUUGAGAUAGAUAUGCUUUAGUCUCCACCAAAAAGUGAAAGGCAGUGGGUUUUGUCUGUGGAAGAAGGAAGCUAUAUCAAGCCAAGGCCAGAGGAGCAUGGGGGUUGAUAUCCACAUGUGAUUGUGUGUUAUGUGGUUGUAGAAAAGGAGCUUUUGGUGGUACAUUUCUUGUUGGAGAUGUUUGAUGGUGCCUUUAGGAGUCUUACUAAUAGGGAAAAACCUUGGGGCUAUUAUUUUUAUUUUAUAUUUUUGAGUGCGAGGGGUGCCUAAGGAAGAGUUUGUUGACAGAACCAGAAUUGAACCGAGGUUGGUCAUCAAUUUUGAGUAUGAACUAAAAAAAAAAAAAAAAUGUAAUUUGAACUGAACCAAAUUGAACUAAACUGUUGGUUGUCUGUCUUAUAAUGAAUAUUUUAGAAAUACUCAUUUGCCCGAAGCUACCAACUAGUGCAAAUUUUGUCUGUUAAAGGCUUAUUGAUCUGCUAAAAUCAAGACUUAGCUCAAAAGAUCUUGAGUUAUGCUAGCGAUGCUUGGUAGGUGGCUCAGUGGAGUAGUCGCUAGAACUUUCAUAAAGAGAAACAUAGAUAUUUCUUUAUACUUACAUGAAAGAAGUUCAAAAUUUUAGCUGAUGAAUUCAACACCCUUCAUUCAAAAUAGUCUAUGGAAUUAAUACAAAAGUUGUUGACAAGCUUUCAUACAGUUUCUCUUUUUGGAUGUGUCUGGACACACACAUGACAAAGUAUUUAGAAUUAUUAUUUUAUGCUAUGACCAAAUAGUUCAUCUUGCCCCAUUUUAACAUCAUGUUGCAGACAGAUGUAAACACGUGUUUAUUUAGGUGUACAUUAAUAAAUUUCCAAUUUUUUCUACCAUUUUACAGAUCUAAAAUGAUGGAUAUUAUUUGUAGUUGAGAACUAAAGAUGCUCUGCUAAAUGCUCUUCUUAUGGCUGCUAAAAGAUUUAGUUCAAGCCCCUCUCAGGUGGAACUGCUUCUUUCUUUCAGUGUGGAGAUGGGCUUUUCUUCAGUUAUACCUGUUGGUCACGAUGAUAGAGGCCUGCUUGCCUUAAAAACUGCACAGAGCGCAUGCUUCACCAAAUUUUGUCAAUGUCAGAAAUUUCUUGGAGAAGUGCAAAAUAUGGUCAAAAAUUUCAAAAAAUUAGUUUUUCAAGCUUUUUUAUUUUUUAAUAUAUGUAAACACAGUUCAAAACUUUUUAUGUAAUUCAUUUGUAUCUACUUUUAAACAUAUUUAACUUUCAUUCAUGAAAUAUAUAACGUUAUUCCAUUU
Non-coding RNA from Camellia sinensis, 3039 nucleotides. The record is from RefSeq and is a predicted model, not a curated record. Lineage: Eukaryota; Viridiplantae; Streptophyta; Magnoliopsida; Ericales; Theaceae.